GACGAACGCUGGCGGCGUGCUUAACACAUGCAAGUCGAACGGAAAGGCCCUGCUUUUGUGGGGUGCUCGAGUGGCGAUCGGGUGAGUAACACGUGAGUAACCUGCCCUUGAUUUUCGGAUAACUUCAGGAAACUGGGGCUAAUACCGGAUAGGAUCUCCUGUUCCGUUGUGGGGGUUGGAAAGUUUCGGCGGGUGGGGAUGGAGUCGCGGCUUUUCAGUUUGUUGGUGGGGGAGUGGCUUACCAAGGCUUUGACGGGUAGCCGGCCUGAGAGGGUGGCCGGCCACAUUGGGACUGAGAGACGGCCCAGUGUCGUACGUGAGGCAGCGGGGGAGAGUAUUGCACAAUGGUAGGGAGCCUGUGGCAAAAACGCCGCGGGCGGGAUGACGGCCUUUGGGGUAUAAACCGCUUUCGCCUGUGACGAAGCGGGAGUGACGGUAAUGGAUGAAGAAGCACCGGCUAACUACGUG
Molecule: ribosomal RNA, 468 nt
Filed under: uncultured bacterium
Lineage: Bacteria
Description: partial 16S ribosomal RNA
Rfam family: Bacterial small subunit ribosomal RNA
Source: RNAcentral